This is a long non-coding RNA of Arabidopsis thaliana (thale cress), 402 nucleotides long. RefSeq annotates it as other RNA. NCBI's taxonomy places the organism in Eukaryota, Viridiplantae, Streptophyta, Magnoliopsida, Brassicales, Brassicaceae. The record is from RefSeq. The transcript has a single exon.
GGGGAGUAUUGAUAAGUUCAUAAGAGGCAGAAGAAGACACGUGCAAGUGAGGAGGCACGUGUGAAGGAAGCUAACUUCAAGAAAAAUAUAUUUUUAGUUCUCAAAAAUAUCUGCAACAAACUUGUUUACAACUUUUGGGGUUUAAAUACUGAUCUAAUUGUUUAGAGAUCUUUUAUGCUGAUUGAUGUAGAAGCUUCUCCUGCGUGAGAAUGGUGGACGAUGAGCUAACAAAGAUGAUGUGUUAGCCGUCUCCUUUGGUUUGGCGAUAAGUAAUCUGAGUUUGGUGGCUUGAUACUUAUCAUUGACCCUGAUUAUAACCACAACAACGAAAGGUGAGUAAAGCAGCUGUUAGUUUCCUUGCAAAAGUAUACUAGCAAAUGGCAACAGUCAGUUUCACACAUG